UAGGGAAUCUUCCACAAUGGACGAAAGUCUGAUGGAGCAACGCCGCGUGAGUGAUGAAGGGUUUCGGCUCGUAAAACUCUGUUGUUGGAGAAGAACGGGUGUCAGAGUAACUGUUGACAUCGUGACGGUAUCCAACCAGAAAGCCACGGCUAACUACGUGCCAGCAGCCGCGGUAAUACGUAGGUGGCAAGCGUUGUCCGGAUUUAUUGGGCGUAAAGCGAGCGCAGGCGGUUUUUUAGGUCUGAUGUGAAAGCCUUCGGCUUAACCGGAGAAGUGCAUCGGAAACCGGGAGACUUGAGUGCAGAAGAGGACAGUGGAACUCCAUGUGUAGCGGUGAAAUGCGUAGAUAUAUGGAAGAACACCAGUGGCGAAGGCGGCUGUCUGGUCUGCAACUGACGCUGAGGCUCGAAAGCAUGGGUAGCGAACAGGAUUAGAUACCCUGGUAGUCCAUGCCGUAAACGAUGAGUGCUAAGUGUUGGAGGGUUUUCCGCC
Molecule: ribosomal RNA, 492 nt
Filed under: uncultured bacterium
Lineage: Bacteria
Description: partial 16S ribosomal RNA
Rfam family: Bacterial small subunit ribosomal RNA
Source: RNAcentral